Long non-coding RNA from Schistocerca nitens (vagrant locust), 185 nucleotides. RefSeq lists it as uncharacterized. The transcript has 3 exons. NCBI's taxonomy places the organism in Eukaryota, Metazoa, Arthropoda, Insecta, Orthoptera, Acrididae. The record is from RefSeq and is a predicted model, not a curated record.
UAACAUAAACCAUUUAGCUUUCCAUUAAGAGUGAAAGCAGUUGCUCGAGUCACGUAAAGAACAAAGUUUCCCAUAGGGAACUAAGCACAGGUCCAGGUUUACCCAUCCAGUGUGACAGUAAAACAGAGUUGCUGAAGGAUCUGAAUCGACAGGAAACAGUGCAGGUGUUGAGGAGCUAUGACUUU